UGCCUCGUGGUGUAAUUGGCAACACGCAAGAUUCUGGUUCUUGUUUUCUAGGUUCGAUUCCUAGCGAGGCAG
RNAcentral lists this transfer RNA (72 nucleotides) under Candidatus Omnitrophota bacterium. RNAcentral describes it as "tRNA-Gln". It matches the Rfam family "tRNA". Rfam says of the family: Transfer RNA (tRNA) molecules are approximately 80 nucleotides in length. Their secondary structure includes four short double-helical elements and three loops (D, anti-codon, and T loops). RNAcentral also lists the same sequence under 1 other name. Lineage: Bacteria; Pseudomonadati; Candidatus Omnitrophota. The record is from RNAcentral.